This 253-nucleotide ribosomal RNA is filed under the name uncultured bacterium. Its description in RNAcentral is "partial 16S ribosomal RNA". It matches the Rfam family "Bacterial small subunit ribosomal RNA", at positions 524 to 776 of the family's 1533-position model. The record is from RNAcentral.
UACAGAGGGGGCAAGCGUUGUCCGGAUUUACUGGGCGUACAGCGCGCGCAGGCGGGUCAUGAUGUGCCGUGUGACAAGCCACCGCUCAACGGUGGAGGGUCAGGGUAGACAGGUGACCUGGAGGCCGAGAGAGGGUUGUGGAAUACCCGGUGGAGCGGUGAAAUGCGUAGAGAUCGGGUGGAACACCAGCGGCGAAGGCGGCAACCUGGCUCGGUGCUGACGCUGAGGCGCGAGAGCGUGGGGAGCGAACCGG